GUUUUAAUAGUUUAAAAUAAAACAUUGGUCUUGUAAAUCAAAAUUAAGGUCUAUCCUUUUAAAACU
Molecule: transfer RNA, 66 nt
Filed under: Sphaeronemoura grandicauda
Lineage: Eukaryota; Metazoa; Arthropoda; Insecta; Plecoptera; Nemouridae
Description: tRNA-Thr
Rfam family: tRNA
About the family: Transfer RNA (tRNA) molecules are approximately 80 nucleotides in length.
Source: RNAcentral